RNAcentral lists this ribosomal RNA (227 nucleotides) under uncultured Lactobacillus sp. RNAcentral's name for it is "partial 16S ribosomal RNA". It matches the Rfam family "Bacterial small subunit ribosomal RNA", at positions 134 to 354 of the family's 1533-position model. The record is from RNAcentral. Lineage: Bacteria; Bacillati; Bacillota; Bacilli; Lactobacillales; Lactobacillaceae.
GAGAUCGGGAUAACACCUGGAAACAGAUGCUAAUACCGGAUAACAACAGAUGAUGCCUAUCAACUGUUUAAAAGAUGGUUCUGCUAUCACUCUUGGAUGGACCUGCGGUGCAUUAGCUAGUUGGUAGGGUAACGGCCUACCAAGGCGAUGAUGCAUAGCCGAGUUGAGAGACUGAUCGGCCACAUUGGGACUGAGACACGGCCCAAACUCCUACGGGAGGCAGCAGA